GUACUGAUGAGGAGUCCCAGACUAGGACGAAGCAGCUUUCCAGUAC
Molecule: non-coding RNA, 46 nt
Organism: Trichobilharzia regenti
Lineage: Eukaryota; Metazoa; Platyhelminthes; Trematoda; Strigeidida; Schistosomatidae
Source: Rfam